Molecule: ribosomal RNA, 253 nt
Filed under: uncultured bacterium
Lineage: Bacteria
Description: partial 16S ribosomal RNA
Rfam family: Bacterial small subunit ribosomal RNA
Source: RNAcentral
UACGUAGGGGGCAAGCGUUGUUCGGAAUUACUGGGCGUAAAGGGCGCGUAGGCGGCCCGCUAAGUCGGACGUGAAAUCCCCGGGCUCAACCCGGGAACUGCGUCCGAUACUGGCAGGCUUGAAUCCGGGAGAGGGAUGCGGAAUUCCAGGUGUAGCGGUGAAAUGCGUAGAUAUCUGGAGGAACACCGGUGGCGAAGGCGGCAUCCUGGACCGGCAUUGACGCUGAGGCGCGAAAGCCAGGGGAGCAAACGGG